Long non-coding RNA from Ipomoea triloba (trilobed morning glory), 324 nucleotides. RefSeq lists it as uncharacterized. Lineage: Eukaryota; Viridiplantae; Streptophyta; Magnoliopsida; Solanales; Convolvulaceae. The transcript has 2 exons. The record is from RefSeq and is a predicted model, not a curated record.
UAUUUCAAGCUGCAGUCAGUUGAGUUGGACCAGUGUCGCCCUUCCGUUGUCACUGCUCCAAGCAUAUUCGAGAAGGGCUACAUCCAUUACAAAGAAGAAUGUUUGAGAUCAAAACCAUCAGUCUUGAAUAUGAGGAUCACCUUAUCCACAUGUAGAAGACGACUUGACCGAGCUCACAGUGAAUUUACUGCUGUUUGAAAAAUGGUGACUAGUUUUCUGGUUUCUCAUUCAAAAGCUAUUCUUUCACCGAUCAUUAUUGCAUGGACCAUGGUCCACACAGCUUUGUGGAUCAAAAAUAAAAAGUACAUUAUUUUUGUACUGAAG